GAUGAACGCUAGCUACAGGCUUAACACAUGCAAGUCGAGGGGAAACGGCAUCGAAAGCUUGCUUUUGAUGGGCGUCGACCGGCGCACGGGUGAGUAACGCGUAUCCAACCUGCCCAUCACUUGGGAAUAACCUUGCGAAAGUAAGACUAAUGUCCAAUUACAUCCCACGAAUGCAUCCGAAUGGGAUUAAAGAUUUAUCGGUGAUGGAUGGGGAUGCGUCUGAUUAGCUUGUUGGCGGGGUGACGGCCCACCAAGGCAACGAUCAGUAGGGGUUCUGAGAGGAAGGUCCCCCACAUUGGAACUGAGACACGGUCCAAACUCCUACGGGAGGCAGCAGUGAGGAAUAUUGGGCAAUGGGCGAGAGCGUGAACCAGCCAAGUAGCGUGCAGGAUGACGGCCCUAUGGGUUGUAAACUGCUUUUAUAAGAGAAUAAAGUGGGUAACGUGUGACUUUUUGCAUGUACCUUAUGAAUAAGGACCGGCUAAUUCCGCG
This 492-nucleotide ribosomal RNA is filed under the name uncultured bacterium. RNAcentral describes it as "partial 16S ribosomal RNA". It matches the Rfam family "Bacterial small subunit ribosomal RNA", at positions 28 to 507 of the family's 1533-position model. The record is from RNAcentral.